GACGAACGCUGGCGGCGCGCUUAACACAUGCAAGUCGAACGGAAAGGCCUGCUUUCCCUUGUGGAUUGCGGGUACUCGAGUGGCGAACGGGUGAGUAACACGUGAGUGAUCUGCCCCCAACUUGGGUAUAAGCCUGGGAAACUGGGUCUAAUUCCCGAUAGGACUGCAGGGUGGUGCCUGUGGUGGAAAACGAUUUUCUAGUGGUUGGGGAUGAGCUCGCGGCCUAUCAGCUUGUUGGUGGGGUAAUGGCCUACCAAGGCGGCGACGGGUAGCCGGCCUGAGAGGGUGGACGGCCACAUUGGGACUGGGAUACGGCCCAGACUGCUACGGGAGGCAGCAGUGGGGAAUAUUGCACAAUGGGCGGAAGCCUGAUGCAGCGACGCCGCGUGGGGGAUGACGGCCUUCGGGUUGUAAACUCCUUUCGACCGCGAGGAAGCCACCUGGUUGGAAGGGUGGUGACGGUAGUGGUAGAAGAAGCACCGGCUAACUACGUG
RNAcentral lists this ribosomal RNA (494 nucleotides) under uncultured bacterium. RNAcentral's name for it is "partial 16S ribosomal RNA". It matches the Rfam family "Bacterial small subunit ribosomal RNA", at positions 28 to 507 of the family's 1533-position model. The record is from RNAcentral.